AAACCAGCACCUCAAGUGGUCAGGAUGAUUAUUGGGCCUAAAGCAUCCGUAGCCGGCUCUGUAAGUUUUCGGUUAAAUCUGUAUGCUCAACAUACAGGCCGCCGGGAAUACUGCAGAGCUAGGGAGUGGGAGAGGUAGACGGUACUCGGGAGGAAGUGGUAAAAUGCUUUGAUCUCUCGAUGACCACCUGUGGCGAAGGCGGUCUACCAGAACACGUCCGACGGUGAGGGAUGAAAGCUGGGGGAGCAAACCGGAUUAGAAACCCCGGUAGUCC
RNAcentral lists this ribosomal RNA (274 nucleotides) under uncultured bacterium. RNAcentral's name for it is "partial 16S ribosomal RNA". It matches the Rfam family "Archaeal small subunit ribosomal RNA", at positions 473 to 747 of the family's 1478-position model. The record is from RNAcentral.